Molecule: small RNA, 30 nt
Filed under: Arabidopsis thaliana (thale cress)
Lineage: Eukaryota; Viridiplantae; Streptophyta; Magnoliopsida; Brassicales; Brassicaceae
Description: ATSL168210
Source: RNAcentral
UGAUCAUGUUUAGCUGUUUUACUACUUGGU